Hippoglossus stenolepis (Pacific halibut) is the source of this 188-nucleotide long non-coding RNA. RefSeq lists it as uncharacterized. The transcript has 3 exons. The record is from RefSeq and is a predicted model, not a curated record. Lineage: Eukaryota; Metazoa; Chordata; Actinopteri; Pleuronectiformes; Pleuronectidae.
GAAUCAACCUUCUCUCUGAGCUGAAACAAGAUUCAAAAUACAACCUCAGCAUUCUCAUUGAUGAUCAUUGUGGAAGUCACCGGAUGAUACCAGGAUUCAAGAAAUAUGCCUGCGAGCUCACGUUGGACCCCAACACAGCUCAUAAGAACCUCUGCCUGUCUGAAGAGAACAGGAAGGGUGACCUGGGG